RNAcentral lists this long non-coding RNA (287 nucleotides) under Musa acuminata (dwarf banana). Its description in RNAcentral is "long non-coding RNA (MACU_LNC011024)". Lineage: Eukaryota; Viridiplantae; Streptophyta; Magnoliopsida; Zingiberales; Musaceae. The record is from RNAcentral.
GGCGUGUUUCCGGCGAACUUCCGUCGAUCAUCCGACGAACCCUCGGUGAUCCUCCUGCGGACUUCCGGCAAACUCCUGGACUUGCGACGAUCCACUUGGCAAGUUCCGACGAGCUCCUUUGGCAAGCUUCUGGACUUCUCGGAUUUGUUCCCGCAGAACCUCCGACGACUGUCCGAACUUUCGUCGAGCUCUCGAACUCCCAACGUGAUCAUUGUAAUGACUCUGGCGCAACUCCUGCUACAUGUCUUACUUUCAUCGUAGUUAAUCCUGCACAUAUAAAAUAAAAA